AUGAGCAAGUUAGAUUCUUUCUUCUGCAAUGACGACUGUGACGUUGAGUUUGGCUCUCACAUCCUUCAUGCUCUCUCAUCCUCGCUCUCGGAUCACUGCCCACCCAAUUUCAAGAGAAUUGUCCAAGAUGCUUGGAGCAAGGGAACAAGCCACUCCGAGCCCUAUCAAGUGCUCUUUCACAAGCUGAAAAGAACAAGCCAGUGCCUCAGGCGAUGGAGCAAAUCCAUCUUCUCAAAUCACAAAGUGCAGCUCCACAUCGCCCUCGAGAUCAUCCUCCGCCUCGACGUGGUUCAAGAGACCAGGACACUCAGCUUGGCUGAAUGGAGUCUAAGGAAGGACCUCAAAAAGAAGGUGGUGGCCUUGGCGGUUCUUGAGCGAACCAGGAAAAGACAAAGUUCGAGAGUUAAGCUACUCAAAGAGGGGGAUGCGAAUACCCGUUUAUUUCACCUCCGUAUCAACCACCGCCAAAGGAAAAACUUCAUUCACCGCCUUAAGCACAACAACGGUUGGGUCACUAGUCAUGAUCACAAGAAGGACAUUAUCCAGAGCCACUUUUCAAAAGCCAUUGGGAAGGGCCUCCUGCGCUCCAAGGACUUCAAUUGGGGCUGCAUCCCAUCGGGGAUCCUUUAUCCCCCUUGCUCUUUGUCCUCGCCAUCGACUCUCUCCACCGAGGAAGGCAACCUUCAUCCGCUACGUGGAAAUCUGAUUCGGGCAUCCCUGUAUGCUGAUGGUGCGGCCAUCUUCGUUGCGCCUAUCAAAGAGGACAUCCAGUUUCUAGCCUCGACGCUGAGCUGCUUUGGUGAGGUCACCGGACUUGUCGCCAACUGCAACAAAAGUUUGGUUGCACCCAUUCAGUGUGCCAACCUCGACCGUGAUGGCAUGCUCCGGCUUUCCCGGCCGUGCGGACCUCUUUCCCUAUGCGUACCUCGAGGACAAGAUCGCGUGCAAGCUCCCACCUUGGUCGGCCAUGCACGUGGUUGCCCUAGAUGCAUCAUUUUGGUCAAAGCGGUUCUCACGACCAUAACAACCUAUCAUCUAACACCCCUAGAUAUCCCGGUUGAGGUGCAGAAGAAAAUCGAUAGCCUAAGAUGUGUCUAUCUUUGGGCAGGCUGCGACAAGGAGUCUGGAGGAAAAUGUAAGGUUAACUGGAACCUUGUCUGCAAACCCAAGAUUUUCGGCGGCCUGGAUUUCUUUGCGACGUUCACGACUGUGUCCAUUAGUGAUGGUAAAAGGGCAAAAUUCAGGGAAUCAUCAUGGCUUAAUGGCCUCAGACCAAAAGAUGUUGCGCCCAAGAUCUUCGAGACAUCUAAGAGGAAGGCGUGCUUGGUCAGCAAAGCGCUUGAUAACAACUUCUGGGUCAGUCAAAUCGACGCUACUCAAGGCCUCUCUUUGGCCCAUAUCCAAGAGUUCGCCAAUCUUUGGGGGAUGCUUCAGGAUGUUACUCUCAGCCUGGAAAGGGAGUACACUAUACAGUGGAAAUUCACCUCUAACAAUGAAUAUUCUGCGGCCAUAGCUUACAUGGCGCAUUUGCGUGACAAAUUUAGUGCCCGAGUUUGGAACGAGAUCAUCACUUGGCUUGGCAUUCAUGGCCAACCUACGACGGCUUGGCGUCACGAGAUCUCCGUCCAGGAUUGGUGGCUCAAGAUGAUCAACUUUGGAGGCCACAUCAAGAAGGCGAUUGCCUACGUUAUGAUGCCUGUCUCGUGGGAAAUUUGGAAGGAGCGAAAUGCGAGAAUCUUCCGCAACACGGCCACCCCGACCACUGUCAUUGUUUCGAAGAUCAAAGAGGAGGCCCGCCUUUGGUCGUUGGCUGGAGCCAUGAGACCAAGCAUAUUAACCAUCCCUCUUCUUCCAGGGCCAUGGGUCCAUGUCUUAAUUUGUACUGGUAAUCAGUAUUAUGGGCCUUGCCAACUAGUAGAUGAUGUUGGCGCCUGCGGCAGCUCCUGGUGGGCCAGCCCACGAACGCGCAAAAAGAAAAAAAAUAUCUCGCUUCCUGGCGCAGUGGUUGUUCGAAUGAAGCCUCCCGAGUGA
Molecule: ribosomal RNA, 2031 nt
Filed under: Triticum aestivum (bread wheat)
Lineage: Eukaryota; Viridiplantae; Streptophyta; Magnoliopsida; Poales; Poaceae
Description: partial small subunit ribosomal RNA
Source: RNAcentral